CGGAAGCCUGACGGAGCAAGACCGCGUGAGGGAAGACGGCCUACUGGUUGUAAACCUCUUUUGUUAGGGAAGAAGGACUGACGGUACCUAACGAAUCAGCAUCGACUAACUCCGUGCCAGCAGCCGCGGUAAUACGGAGGAUGCAAGCGUUAUCCGGAAUUAUUGGGCGUAAAGCGUCCGCAGGUGGUUGUACAAGUCUGCUGUCAAAGCGCGAGGCUUAACUUCGUAAGGGCAGUGGAAACUGUGCGACUAGAGUACGGUAGGGGUAGCGGGAAUUCCCAGUGUAGCGGUGAAGUGCGUAGAUAUUGGGAAGAACACCAGCGGCGAAAGCGCGCUACUGGGCCUGUACUGACACUCAUGGACGAAAGCUAGGGGAGCG
This 379-nucleotide ribosomal RNA is filed under the name uncultured cyanobacterium. Its description in RNAcentral is "bacterial SSU rRNA". It matches the Rfam family "Bacterial small subunit ribosomal RNA", at positions 376 to 770 of the family's 1533-position model. The record is from RNAcentral. Lineage: Bacteria; Bacillati; Cyanobacteriota.